AGAUCCAUCUGGCGCACGUUACGAGGCCUGGCUCCCGGUCCGGCCCUACCUUGCGUGCGCAUAUCUCCGGGAUCUGCGCCGCGUCUGCUCGCGGCGAUUUCGGUUAUGCCGGCCCGAACACUCC
Molecule: small nucleolar RNA, 124 nt
Filed under: Giardia lamblia ATCC 50803
Lineage: Eukaryota; Fornicata; Diplomonadida; Hexamitidae
Description: GlsR26 H/ACA box snoRNA
Rfam family: Small nucleolar RNA GlsR26
Source: RNAcentral